Molecule: non-coding RNA, 74 nt
Organism: Podarcis lilfordi (Lilford's wall lizard)
Lineage: Eukaryota; Metazoa; Chordata; Lepidosauria; Squamata; Lacertidae
Source: the annotation of a GenBank genome assembly
UUCUGGGUAGCUCAGUCGGUUAGAGUGUGGUGCUAAUAAUGCCAAGGUUGCAGGUUCAAUACCCAUAAGGGAAA